UGUCCCGUGGUGUAAUGGUAACACAGAUGAUUCUGGUUCAUUUAUUCAGGGUUCGAAUCCUUGCGGGAUAACUA
This 74-nucleotide transfer RNA is filed under the name Bacteroidales bacterium. Its description in RNAcentral is "tRNA-Gln". It matches the Rfam family "tRNA". Rfam says of the family: Transfer RNA (tRNA) molecules are approximately 80 nucleotides in length. Their secondary structure includes four short double-helical elements and three loops (D, anti-codon, and T loops). Further hydrogen bonds mediate the characteristic L-shaped molecular structure. tRNAs have two regions of fundamental functional importance: the anti-codon, which is responsible for specific mRNA codon recognition, and the 3' end, to which the tRNAs corresponding amino acid is attached (by aminoacyl-tRNA synthetases). tRNAs cope with the degeneracy of the genetic code in two manners: having more than one tRNA (with a specific anti-codon) for a particular amino acid; and 'wobble' base-pairing, i.e. permitting non-standard base-pairing at the 3rd anti-codon position. The record is from RNAcentral. Lineage: Bacteria; Pseudomonadati; Bacteroidota; Bacteroidia; Bacteroidales.